RNAcentral lists this ribosomal RNA (253 nucleotides) under uncultured bacterium. RNAcentral describes it as "partial 16S ribosomal RNA". It matches the Rfam family "Bacterial small subunit ribosomal RNA", at positions 524 to 776 of the family's 1533-position model. The record is from RNAcentral.
UACGGGGGGGGCAAGCGUUGUUCGGAAUUACUGGGCGUAAAGGGCUCGUAGGUGGCCAACUAAGUCAGACGUGAAAUCCCUCGGCUUAACCGGGGAACUGCGUCUGAUACUGGUUGGCUUGAGUUUGGGAGAGGGAUGCGGAAUUCCAGGUGUAGCGGUGAAAUGCGCAGAUAUCAGGAGGAACACCGGUGGCGAAGGCGGAUCUCUGGGCCAUUACUGACGCUGAGGAGCGAAAGCGUGGGGAGCGAACAGG